UUAUGCGUGACAUUUUUACGUAAUUUUCGCUUUUAAAUAAUGAAUUUUGUGAAUAUUGUAUAUUUUUGCUAAUCGAGCGUACUACCCAUCUUUUUCUGUCCGAAUGCUCACUCCUUUUAUGUAGUAGGUAUGUUUGAAAAUUCCACAUUAGUUUAACGUUGUCGUGUCGGCUGUUAAUAAAUAAUAUAUCAGCGAUAACAAUAUUGAGCGCGUUAAUAUUUCUGAAAAUCUGUAAGAAUUUUAUGGUCUUUCUUAGAAGUGACAUGUGUAAAAACUUUGUGAAAAUUGCGGAUUUGUUAAAAAAUUAACUUAUUUAGUGAAGCUUAACGUGUUGUUAUUAAUGGAAAAUUUGUACCGAUAGAUAAACAUAAGACAUCAUUAUGUUUAAUUAAGAUUACGGUUAAAAGCAAUUUGGAAUACCAGUAUCUCAGUAGUUGUUUGUGGUACAAAUGCAAAUCGUUACUUUUGGUUUACUUUUCUGGGAUAAUGGAAGAAGUUCAUUGGGAUUCCUGUUGGUCCUGCCGACUGAAGCAACAACUUUACUUCUGGUUUACCUUUCUGGAAUAAUGGAAGAAGUUCCUUGGGAUGUUCCUGUUGGUUCUGCCGAGUGAAGCCACAACGUGAGACCUCCACCAUCAUCGGGAGUUGAUGCAUCUGGGCAUGGACUUUCACCAUCCUUCCGGGGACUACAGGACAUGGGUCUUCAUCAUCCUUCUAGGGGAUCCAGCAUUCGCGUGUGCCGGGUCGGGAGUGUCCUGGUGCGACCGAAUUCGAACUUCGAGGUCUCCAAUGCUCGGGAUCUUGGAAUUUCCGAGAUACCGAGUUUUGGAAAUGUCGAAAUUUCGAAAUUUCCACAUUCCCAAAACUCGGUAUCACGGAACUUCCAAAUUUCGUGCACUGGGGACUUCUUAGUUCAAAUUCGGAAGCACCAGCCGUUGGGCGAAGCCCCGGUUGGUCGUCGUCUUAUAACCAACCGUUGGGCAAAGCCCCGGACGGUCGUCGAAUCACGAAUUUGUAACUUACUAAACCUGGUAGACGUGAAAAAUUCAUUUUUGUCCUUUUUUUUUAAAUAAAUAAAAAACGUGAAUAAGG
Molecule: long non-coding RNA, 1092 nt
Organism: Agrilus planipennis (emerald ash borer)
Lineage: Eukaryota; Metazoa; Arthropoda; Insecta; Coleoptera; Buprestidae
Exons: 4
Source: RefSeq, a predicted model, not a curated record